UGGAAGCUGUUCUUUGGAUGUCAGAUGUUUGGGUUUCCUGCUUGCUUCCCCCACCCCCACCCCCCAGUUUUGAGCCUCACUGAAUCUCAGUUAAUACCAGCUUCUGGCCUCCCCGUCUACCCUAGGCUACACUGUCCAUCUUCCAAUGCAACCAACGUCAUAGAGGCCUUUUAUGCACCGUUUAGGAUUCAGAACGAGCAAGAAGAUUCAUGUGUAAUAAAAGACCAGCUCACCAAGACUACAGGGUGCAAGUCCUGCAUCAUGCAGAGAAACCUUUGGCUCUUGAUCAUCUUCUCACCCUGAAUAGCAAGAUCCUGCUUGACCAAGUAUCACUGUUUAUUUAAGG
Molecule: long non-coding RNA, 346 nt
Filed under: Mus spicilegus (steppe mouse)
Lineage: Eukaryota; Metazoa; Chordata; Mammalia; Rodentia; Muridae
Description: lncRNA (ENSMSIG00000001651.1)
Source: RNAcentral